GUGGGGAAUUUUGGACAAUGGGCGCAAGCCUGAUCCAGUAAUGCCGCGUGCAGGAAGAAGGCCUUCGGGUUGUAAACUGCUUUUGUACGGAACGAAACGGUCCGGGUUAAUACCCUGGGCUAAUGACGGUACCGUAAGAAUAAGCACCGGCUAACUACGUGCCAGCAGCCGCGGUAAUACGUAGGGUGCAAGCGUUAAUCGGAAUUACUGGGCGUAAAGCGUGCGCAGGCGGUUUUGUAAGACAGGCGUGAAAUCCCCGGGCUCAACCUGGGAAUUGCGCUUGUGACUACAAGGUUGGAGUGCGGCAGAGGGGGAUGGAAUUCCGCGUGUAGCAGUGAAAUGCGUAGAUAUGCGGAGGAACACCGAUGGCGAAGGCAAUCCCCUGGGCCUGCACUGACGCUCAUGCACGAAAGCGUGGGGAGCAAACAGGAUUAGAUACCCCAGUAGUCC
This 450-nucleotide ribosomal RNA is filed under the name uncultured bacterium. RNAcentral describes it as "bacterial SSU rRNA". It matches the Rfam family "Bacterial small subunit ribosomal RNA", at positions 354 to 796 of the family's 1533-position model. The record is from RNAcentral.